Ictidomys tridecemlineatus (thirteen-lined ground squirrel) is the source of this 71-nucleotide non-coding RNA. NCBI's taxonomy places the organism in Eukaryota, Metazoa, Chordata, Mammalia, Rodentia, Sciuridae. The record is from Rfam.
UGGGGUUAAGCUUAGUGGUAGAGCACUUGCCUAGAAUGCUUGAAGCCCUGGGUUAAAUCCCAGAACCACAC